Molecule: long non-coding RNA, 2182 nt
Organism: Ictalurus punctatus (channel catfish)
Lineage: Eukaryota; Metazoa; Chordata; Actinopteri; Siluriformes; Ictaluridae
Source: Ensembl
GUCAUUGUAAGACUCAAUGGGUAAGUUAUUUAUACUGUCAUAAAUGCCAUUGUUCCUUCAUAUUUUUCUUGCUCCCCCAAUUACUAAUGUAAUGAUAACUACCAACCUAAUCUCAUAUGAAAUUAUAGUGACCAAAAAAGUGCUUUUGUUGGAUUUUAUUUCGUGUAAAGUGCGUAAUAAAUCCAUUUAUUCAUCUUCAGUAGCUGUAUCCUGGUCACUGGUCACAGUGGAUUCAGAGCCCAUCUUGAAACAGUAGACACAAAGCAGGAAUACACUCCAGCUAUCACUUGUCAUUGUAAGACUCAAUGGGCUACCAGCAUGAAGAAAACAUCAAAGUGUCCUUCAGGAGAGGCCCACAGGUCAUUUUUGAAGGGACCCACCUGAAGAGGCAAGAAGGAUUAAAGACAAUCCUUUGCAAGACAAGUCAACACCUUAAAGAGAAGUUGUGGUCAGGAACAAUUCCCGUUCUAUUGUUUUACAGAGGAGAGGGGAUGUUUCAGACAAGCAAGAGGUGUUAGGAGAAUACAUUCUUCAGUUUGGGAAGUACAAAGGGAAGUCCUUCCCGUGGCUAGUGGAGAAUGAUAUUGGCUACAUUUUGUACUUGUCCAGUAAGGUUGAUGAGGAAGAACAGGCUGACCCAGAUGGUCGUUGCAAGGAGAGCCUCCUUUCCUUUCUUGAAUAUUCAAGAUGCUUUAAGGAAAUUGAAGAUCUCCGACGAUCCCUUUCAGAGAGGCCAGACUCAGUGCCAGUUUUGUCAGAUGAUGACAAUGUUGUUGGAUUUGGGGCAUGAGCACAGGACACCUGGAGGAUGAUCUGGAAUACCAGGGCUUAUGGGUAUGCUGCCUUUAUAAUGGGGAAGAGCUAUGUUCCUGGAAGUAAAAUGUACUGCUUGCAGCAAUAUAUUUUAAAGCAUAAAAAACAGGUGACCAUUGCUACACCUUCACCCUCACAAUCAACUCCCUCCACAACUUCCACUUCACACCUUUUCUCUGAUUAUCCAUGUGAGUAAACCACAUUUAUAUUUGUUUAUAUAGAUUCUUACAGUCUACUGAUGUAUUUGUUUCAUUUCACAGUAAUGGAGGAGGAUGAGAUGAUGCUGAGUCUGUCUCCACCCAAUUAUCUAGUUCAACCUGUUUAUGGCAUAUUAAAUAGCACAUACUAGAGUUAUACUAAACAAAUUCUAUUGUAUAUUUCAGAGUCAUCUGCAGCCACUCGGUGUCCAGUCUUCUCCACAGCACGAGGUUAUUUUCCACAUCAGUUUUGGAGCCGUAUGCUGUUACCCACAGAUUUAUCCUUCAUAACUCUUUUUCAUACCUUUUUUAUUGUUUUGGCAGUGUUUUUGCCUGUUCUAAAACUUGUGUUCUUUUGUUAUACUAACAAUUGGUAAAGGUUGAACAUAUCACUGUUGAGGGUGAGUGCACUUCAUGAAUUUUAUGCAUGCUAUUUAACAUAUUUGUAUUGUCUACUCAAAGCUUUAGCUGUUUUUAAAGAGUAAACUUUCAAAUUAGGAUCAAUUUGUAAUCACUUUAAGUUUUUAAAUAAUCUGUGCAGUUCAAUCAUAAAGGUGAACAUUAUUUGAACUUGCAUUAAUGGAAUUUUUAAAUAAAUAUUCUGUUGUUGUAAGUUCUAACUGAUCCAUCCAUCUAUUCAUCUUCUAUACCGCUUAUCCUCUACAGGGUCACGUGGAAACCUGGAGCCUAUCCCAGGGAUCAUCGGGCACAAGGCGGAGUACACCCUGGACAGGGUGCCAGUCCAUCACAGGUUCCGCCACAGCCAACACCGUCUGCGGUCUGCCAUCCAGUGCCAACAAGCAGACUGUAAUACACAUUGUGAUACAUAAUUAUGAAAGAUAUUGUGGUAAAGUCUGCUGUGAAUGGUCCCACAUUGAUACCCUAAAGAUUUUCACUUUCCAGAAACAGUUUAUGCCUAUCUCACUGUUGCUUAAGUAGAUAAAUCUCACCUGCAUAUUGCAUACUUGUAUCUAGAAACUGCUGGUGUAAUCAAAGUGUGAUGCUGGUACUGAUCAACACACUUAAUACUGUUUGACUUUAUAUGAUAGAGUUAUGUAAGAGUAAUGAUUUUUAAUCUCACUAUCUGGUGUCCCCCAGAAGAAGAUGGAUUCCCUUUUGACUAUGGUUCCUCUCAAGUCUUCUUCAUAUGGUCUCAGGAGUGUUCCUUGGCA